AUACAAAAAGCAAAUCAUUCACUGGAUCCUAUCUAGUUAUUCUCUUUCUUUAAAUCUUAUCAUAAAAAAAAAAAAAAA
This 78-nucleotide non-coding RNA is filed under the name uncultured Strombidinopsis. The record is from RNAcentral. Lineage: Eukaryota; Ciliophora; Spirotrichea; Choreotrichida.